Molecule: long non-coding RNA, 238 nt
Organism: Lingula anatina
Lineage: Eukaryota; Metazoa; Brachiopoda; Lingulata; Lingulida; Lingulidae
Source: RefSeq, a predicted model, not a curated record
UCUGUGCUUACAGAGGUUUGCGGAGAAAGAAGAUAAGCUGAUGAGGCUUGAGAAAGCCAUCAACCCACUUCUAGAUGAUGAUGACCAAGUGGCAUUCUCCUUCAUUCUAGAAAAUAUUGUCCAGACAAAACUCAAAUUGGUGGAUAAUUCUUGGCCCUUUCACCAGCCUGUAAACAAGAAGUUUGUCAAGGAUUACUAAGAGAUUGUGAAGAACCCCAUGGACCUGAGCAUGUUACUA